GACGAACGCUGGCGGCGUGCCUAAUACAUGCAAGUAGAACGCUGAAGAGAGGAGCUUGCUCUUCUUGGGUGAGUUGCGAACGGGUGAGUAACGCGUAGGUAACCUGCCUUGUAGCGGGGGAUAACUAUUGGAAACGAUAGCUAAUACCGCAUAACAAUGGAUGACACAUGUCCUUUAUUUGAAAGGGGCAAUUGCUCCACUACAAGAUGGACCUGCGUUGUAUUAGGUAGUAGGUGAGGUAAUGGCUCACCUAGGCGACGAUACAUAGCCGACCUGAGGGGGUGAUCGGCCACACUGGGACCGGGACACGGGCCAGACCCCUAAGGGAAGCAGCAGUAGGGAAUCUUCGGCAAAGGGGGCAACGCUGAACGAGCAACGCCGCGUGAGUGAAGGAGGUUUUCGGAUCGGAAAGCUCCGUUGUAAGUCAAGAAAGGGUGGGAGAGUGGAAAGUUCACACUGUGACGGUAGCUUACCAGAAAGGGACGGCUAACUACGUG
Molecule: ribosomal RNA, 497 nt
Filed under: uncultured bacterium
Lineage: Bacteria
Description: partial 16S ribosomal RNA
Rfam family: Bacterial small subunit ribosomal RNA
Source: RNAcentral